UACAGGGGGGGCAAGCGUUGUUCGGAUUCAUUGGGCGUAAAGGGUGCGUAGGCGGCGCGGUAAGUCGGGUGUGAAAUCUCGGAGCUUAACUCCGAAACUGCAUUCGAUACUGCCGUGCUUGAGGACUGGAGAGGAGACUGGAAUUUACGGUGUAGCGGUGAAAUGCGUAGAUAUCGUAAGGAAGACCAGUGGCGAAGGCGGGUCUCUGGACAGUUCCUGACGCUGAGGCACGAAGGUCAGGGGAGCAAACGGG
RNAcentral lists this ribosomal RNA (253 nucleotides) under uncultured bacterium. RNAcentral's name for it is "partial 16S ribosomal RNA". It matches the Rfam family "Bacterial small subunit ribosomal RNA", at positions 524 to 776 of the family's 1533-position model. The record is from RNAcentral.